Long non-coding RNA from Sebastes umbrosus (honeycomb rockfish), 345 nucleotides. RefSeq lists it as uncharacterized. The record is from RefSeq and is a predicted model, not a curated record. The transcript is spliced from 2 exons. NCBI's taxonomy places the organism in Eukaryota, Metazoa, Chordata, Actinopteri, Perciformes, Sebastidae.
ACCAAACCAGUACUAAGAUCAAAUCCAAUACUAAUCCUGACUACAUUUAUGUUUGACUAAGAGGCCCCUAUUUACUCCAACGGCAAAACGAAAAAAAAGACCACACCUAUACUGGUCAUGAGAACUACUGACUCUCAUCCACUGAAUGACACAGCACUUUUCCUCCGGUCACAUGAUGACAAUCAGGCCAGAAAUGGUUGCCAAGGAAGCUCUCUCUCCCUCACAAAGCCUCUGUCCUGAGUCAUAUAGGUUGCCAGAGUUUUACCAAUCUAAAAUGAUUCAGCAUCGAUCACAUAUUGCUUUUUGCUGUUUGCACACAAAUAAAUGUAUUCUGAGUGUCACAUA